CCGAAUAAUCCCUGGUCAUAAUCAUACCAAAAACUGUCUAUCAAUGCACUACAGGCCACUGAGGACUUUUUUCACAUCAUUUAUAACAUUACAGGUCAUGAUUAUACCGAAUAAUCCCUGGUCAUAAUCAUACUAAGUCCAUCUAUGCACGUAAGCCAAAGAUGACUUUCAUCACAAUAUAAGCAUGAGGAUGAUGACAAUGACAUAAUAAUUCAAGAAAACAAGUUCAAG
This 231-nucleotide long non-coding RNA is filed under the name Panax ginseng (ginseng). RNAcentral's name for it is "long non-coding RNA (PGIN_LNC018537)". The record is from RNAcentral. Lineage: Eukaryota; Viridiplantae; Streptophyta; Magnoliopsida; Apiales; Araliaceae.